AAUCCAAUGGUGUAGUGGUUUGAAUAUUGGACUACAACUCUGAAAAACCAGGUCCAAAUCCUGGUUCGGUCA
Non-coding RNA from Phrynosoma platyrhinos (Desert horned lizard), 72 nucleotides. The record is from the annotation of a GenBank genome assembly. Lineage: Eukaryota; Metazoa; Chordata; Lepidosauria; Squamata; Phrynosomatidae.